Molecule: ribosomal RNA, 371 nt
Filed under: uncultured bacterium
Lineage: Bacteria
Description: bacterial SSU rRNA
Rfam family: Bacterial small subunit ribosomal RNA
Source: RNAcentral
AGAGGGUGCGAGCGUUGUCCGGAAUCACUGGGCGUAAAGGGCGCGUAGGCGGCUUCUUAAGCGUGUGGUGAAAGCGCGGGGCUCAACCCCGCGUCGGCCAUGCGGACUGGGAGGCUGGAGCAUGUCAGAGGCAGGCGGAAUUCCGGGUGUAGCGGUGGAAUGCGUAGAGAUCCGGAAGAACACCGGUGGCGAAGGCGGCCUGCUGGGACAUGGCUGACGCUGAGGCGCGACAGCGUGGGGAGCAAACAGGAUUAGAUACCCUGGUAGUCCACGCCGUAAACGAUGGGUACUAGGUGCUUGGGGGAGCGACCCCCUGGGUGCCGGCGCUAACGCAUUAAGUACCCCGCCUGGGGAGUACGGCCGCAAGGCUG